RNAcentral lists this long non-coding RNA (623 nucleotides) under Pongo abelii (Sumatran orangutan). RNAcentral's name for it is "lincRNA". The record is from RNAcentral. Lineage: Eukaryota; Metazoa; Chordata; Mammalia; Primates; Hominidae.
UUAAAAUUAUCUGGAAGUGGACAGAGUAUAUUUGAUGAGUGCCAAUUUACAGUGGAAGAAAAAUAAACAUUCAGCUUCAAGACUAAUCAAUCGAUGAAGCCAUGGCUGUGACAAACCUAAACUUCGUAUCUUAACACAUCUGCAUACAUAAUGCUUCAAAGGAAAAUAAAGAAAACCAACAAAGACAAUAAGCUGCUCCUUCUUCAUUUGGCCCAUCUCACUGUUGACUUCUCCAGAGAAGACGCUGUAACAGAGUCUGAAGAACAAGAUCUUUCUUGAAAAUCAACACCUGUGAAAGCAAGAGGGUAUAAGCAGAAUUGUGCAGAGGAAGAAGGAGGAACAUGGAGCUGCUCUCCCUGAAGUGAAAGAUGGGACCCGGAGCCCUUAACCCCAGAUGUUCCUUUGCAUCUCUCCUCUGACUGCAUGGAACAUGGUGUUUUAAAUCACUGUAUUGGAUGACUUCCAGGGUCACUUUUACUAAUACAUUUUAUGAUUCUAGGGUCCAAGAAUGAUGGUAUUAUAUGUAAGAACUCUGAAGCCUCAAAGAGAAGAGCAACUAGAAUUCUUCUUUCUUUCCUAUUGUUCAUCAACACAGUACUAAAAUGACCACUAAAGAGCAGAAA